GGUCUUUUUUUAUGAUAUAGGAGGCAAAUGAGCAGACGGAUCACCUGAUGGUAAGCGAUUACCGCCGCCCAUGGACACCCGCAACACCAGAAGGGUUGCAAGCGCGUUGCCGGCCUUUAAGAUGGGAGUACGCUCUUUUCUUGAAGGUCGUAUCGGUCCGGAAAUACCGCAGGCGACAGUUCAUUCCACAGUUUGGAUGUGCGAGGCAGGAAGUUUCUGGAGAAACGCACAGUUGAGGACUGCCAACCAUCUAAGUGGUGAAGAUGGUAAUGUUGUCGCGUAGGGCGAUGGCGAAAAGAAGCGGCAGGGACUAAUCCGAACAAUUCCUCGGAGCACUCCCCGUUAUACAUGCGAUAGAAAAUGCAGAGCGAGGCCACAUCUCUACUAUAAUUUCUUAAAAACACACUUGCGAUUUAUGACGUAUUAAAAAAACUACUUACUAGAUCUCGUUUAAACCAAUUUUCGGUGGAAGUUUGCAUGGUAAUGUACAUGAUAUAUUUUUUUAGUUUUAUCAUUCUCUUAUUUUAGAAGUUACAGGGGGGGGGGGACACAUUUUACCACUUUGGAAGUGUCUCUUGCGCAAACUAUUCAGUUUAGAAAAAAAUGAUAUUAGAAACCUCAAUAUCAUUUUUGAAGACCUAUCCAUACACGUAUGGGUUUGAUGAAAAUAAAAUUUUGAGUUUCAGUUUUAAGUAUGCGGAACCCCCAAAAUUUAUUGUUUUUUGUCUAUUUUUGUGUGAAAAUCUUAAUGCGGUUCACAGAAUACAUCUACUUACCAAGUUUCAACAGUAUAGUUCUUAUAGUUUCGGAAAAAAGUGGCUGUGACAUACGGACGGACAGA
Cydia amplana is the source of this 841-nucleotide long non-coding RNA. RefSeq lists it as uncharacterized. The transcript has 3 exons. The record is from RefSeq and is a predicted model, not a curated record. NCBI's taxonomy places the organism in Eukaryota, Metazoa, Arthropoda, Insecta, Lepidoptera, Tortricidae.